CAUCAAUCAAAUUCAGAAAAAUGAUUUCAAUUUUAAAUAAUACAUGGUGGUGGUCUAACUUACGUCGAUGGUCGUGAGAAGGUCGCUUAUUGUAUAAUUGAAACUAAAAUAUACUAAAAAGGCUUGUC
This is a regulatory RNA element of Flavobacterium indicum, 128 nucleotides long. It matches the Rfam family "Bacteroidete tryptophan peptide leader RNA". NCBI's taxonomy places the organism in Bacteria, Pseudomonadati, Bacteroidota, Flavobacteriia, Flavobacteriales, Flavobacteriaceae. The record is from Rfam.